RNAcentral lists this ribosomal RNA (559 nucleotides) under Pichia inconspicua. Its description in RNAcentral is "eukaryotic LSU rRNA". It matches the Rfam family "Eukaryotic large subunit ribosomal RNA", at positions 93 to 657 of the family's 3401-position model. The record is from RNAcentral. Lineage: Eukaryota; Fungi; Ascomycota; Pichiomycetes; Pichiales; Pichiaceae.
GUGAAGCGGCAAGAGCUCAGAUUUGAAAUCGCAGCACCAUGCUGCGAGUUGUAGAUUGCAGGUGGGAGAGUCUGCGUAGGCCGGUGUCGAAGUCCCUUGGAACAGGGCGCCACUGAGGGUGAGAGCCCCGUGCGAUGCCACGCUCUACGUUUUGUACUCCCCUCUGACGAGUCGAGUUGUUUGGGAAUGCAGCUCUAAGUGGGUGGUAAAUUCCAUCUAAGGCUAAAUACUGGCGAGAGACCGAUAGCGAACAAGUACUGUGAAGGAAAGAUGAAAAGCACUUUGAAAAGAGAGUGAAACAGCACGUGAAAUUGUUGAAAGGGAAGGGUAUUGGGCCCGACAUGGGAAUCGCGCACCGCUGCUCCUUGUGGGCGGCGCUCUGGGCUUUUCCUGGGCCAGCAUCGGUUCUUGCUGCAGGAGAAGGGGCUGUGGAAUGUGGCUGCCGCGCUUUGCCGGGGCAGUGUUAUAGCCACUGGGCCAGAUGCUGCGUGUGGGGACCGAGGACUGCGGCCGCAAGGUCUCGGAUGCUGGCACAACGGCGCAAUACCGCCCGUCUUGA